This 461-nucleotide long non-coding RNA is filed under the name Fragaria vesca (wild strawberry). Its description in RNAcentral is "long non-coding RNA (FVES_LNC002883)". Lineage: Eukaryota; Viridiplantae; Streptophyta; Magnoliopsida; Rosales; Rosaceae. The record is from RNAcentral.
UUGAUUAUCAUCCAUCAGAUUAUGUAGACUCACUCAGAUACCAACUUGGUACUACUGUUCAACACUGCAUCAUGAGUACGUGACCAUAAGGAUUAAGAGCAGUUGUCCUUGUGUCAAUAGAGAUACCAGAAGGGUAACCACCUAACGGUCGCCACAGUCCUGGUGGAUUAAUGAUGUUCCCUAGGUCGUAUUCUGAAUUUAAGACGUUCUUGGUAGAUUUCAAGGUAUACUAACACUAAGCAGGUAGUUCUUCAUUACCAAAUCCAGCAUAAAAUAAAUCUCCUCCCGCCAAAGCUUGUUCACCGACUUGUAGAAGAUAUCUAUCUAGAUGGAAAAUGCAUCGCCAAUAAUCCAUGCAAUCAGAAGUAGGUAUAGGUAGGAAGCCUCAAGGGAAUCAUAAAAUGUUAGAACCCUAAACCUGCAUAAGAGAUGACAAAGUAUAAAUAACAGCAUACAGAAAG